This 240-nucleotide ribosomal RNA is filed under the name uncultured bacterium. RNAcentral's name for it is "partial 16S ribosomal RNA". It matches the Rfam family "Bacterial small subunit ribosomal RNA", at positions 94 to 334 of the family's 1533-position model. The record is from RNAcentral.
AGUGGCGGACGGGUGAGUAACGCGUGGGUAACCUGCCUCAUACAGGGGGACAGCAGCUGGAAACGGCUGGUAAUACCGCAUAAGCGCACAGUACCGCAUGGUACGGUGUGAAAAACUCCGGUGGUAUGAGAUGGACCCGCGUCUGAUUAGGUAGUUGGUGGGGUAACGGCCUACCAAGCCGACGAUCAGUAGCCGACCUGAGAGGGUGACCGGCCACAUUGGGACUGAGACACGGCCCAA